This is an RNA transcript of Carica papaya (papaya), 1211 nucleotides long. RefSeq lists it as uncharacterized. The record is from RefSeq and is a predicted model, not a curated record. Lineage: Eukaryota; Viridiplantae; Streptophyta; Magnoliopsida; Brassicales; Caricaceae.
UUGUUUUUAUUACCUCUCUCCAUUCUUGCUGCUGUUUACCUCAUCCAAGCCAUACAGAAGUCUCCUUCUACGCUACAUCAAUCAUCGGCAAACUCCCACCGAGUCAACUUCUUUAGGAGCUGCUCCAACAAGCUUCUGUUUGCGUCGGUGAAUCUCUGAUCAGAAGCGGAUUAGCAUCCCUUCAUAUCUACAUCGCAGACUGUAGCUGCAUUUGAAUCUUUUUGGCCUCUCUUCAAGCAUAAUACAGAAAUUUCGGUAUUGCAAUUUGCAAAAGGAAGAACUACUGUUUGUUGGAUGGACGAAAUAAAGGGAACUUUGAGAAAGAACAGGCUUGAAGAUGUGAGUUGGCUUUGUUCCCUUUCAGAAGCUGAACUUGAUUUUCUUAUUAGCUUAAAGAUACUUGUUCUUCAACGUGCAAAAAUAAUCGGCCAUGAUGAACUAGCCAAGAAAUUUGAUUUGAGGAUGCUCCGAGCCCUUGGAUUCAUUCUCAUGGAACAUGUUAGAGGAAAAAUCAAGAAUUUGUCAGUUAGUCCUUGCUUCGCCGAUUCUGAUUCUUUUAUGAAUGAUUGCAAUUUACUAAAAUCUAAGAUUGAGGAUGUUCUGAGUAUUGAAGAAAUCAAAGACUUGAUUAGCACUUACUCAAGAAAAAGACCACCAAAAAGGUAACUUCAAGCUGGGCGACUUGAUCAUUUUUUCACCAUGUGUUGUGAUUUGAUUUUGGCAAUAGCUGCUGAUGAGUCGAAGAAGGCGAGAGGUUGGAAGAGUUUACUGAUGAACAAACUGGGUUUCAGAAUCCAUCUGAGUUGUUGAAAAACGAGGAAGAAGUACGUGACCAUUUUUGAUGAAGAAAGCGGGAGGUUAGUGGUAGAUUACAAGGUUUUGCAUGGUAGGGACCUGGCAGACGCAGCUGUUGUAGGUAAAAAGAGCAAAAGCAUAGAUGGAAAUUAUUACGGGUUAGAAUCUUUUUCUAGAAAAAUAUGAGGAAAAACCAUAGAGAUUUUUUUUUUUUUUUCUUGGAUAGAAUUUAGGCCAGGCCAACAAGCUUUGAACAUUUAUAGAAAACAACAUUUUAGGGAAACUAUUAGCGAAAAAGAGGAUGCCACAUGUACUAGGUAAAAUUCAAUUGGUCACUUGUGAAUCUAUUAAUUAAAAAUAAGAUGUGCUAGACAACACAAUCUAUUCUAUACGUAUAACGAUGGAUUGUUUUAUCA